UCGCGCCGGGGGCGAGGUAGACGAUGUUCAGCACUUCGCGGGUGCUGCGGGGGAAGGCGACGCCGUUCGCGUCGGCCGGGGCGAU
RNAcentral lists this transfer RNA (85 nucleotides) under Deinococcus soli (ex Cha et al. 2016). RNAcentral's name for it is "tRNA-Ala". Lineage: Bacteria; Thermotogati; Deinococcota; Deinococci; Deinococcales; Deinococcaceae. The record is from RNAcentral.